ACCUGGUUGAUCCUGCCAGUAGCAUAUGCUUGUCUCAAAGAUUAAGUCCUCCCGGGAUGUGUGCAUUCAUCAGAAAAAGACGGAUCUUCGGUGACUAGAUAACCUUAAGCCGAUACAUUCGGAGGUCUACCAUAUCAACUUCCAAUGGCACUUUCUGUGCCUACCAUGGUGAGCACAGGUAACUGGGAAUCAGGGUUUGAUUCGGGAGAGGGAGCCUCAGAAACGUCUACCGCAUCCAAGGAAGGCAGCAGGCGUGCAAAUUACCCACUCCUGAUUCAGGGAGGUAGUGAUGUGAAAUAACAGUACAGGACUCUUACUAGGACCCAUGAUUAUGAGUACACGUCAAAUCCUUUAAUGAGGAUCGAUUGAAGGGCAAGUCUGGUGCCAUCAGCCGUGGUAAUUCCAGCUCCAAUAGCAGAUAUCAAAGUUGCUGCAGUUAAAAAUCACGUAGUUGGAUCUUGGGAUCGGCCAGCUGGUCUGCUGCGAGGCGAGCUACUGCCUGUCCCAGUUCCUGCCUCUUGGCACCCCCUUGUUGCUCUUGACAGUGUUCUGGAGGUCUGAAGCGUUAACUCAUAAAUAAUUAGAGUGUUCAAAGCUGCCUGGUCACCUGAAUGUAUGAGCUCAGAAUAAUGAAAUUGGACUAUGGUUCUAUUUUGUUGGUUUCCGGAACUGGGGCCAUGAGUCAGAAGGACUGCCGGGAUCAUUCGUAUUGUGCUGCUAAAGGUGACAUACUUGUACCGCGGCAAGGCAAACCAAAGCAAAAGCAUUAGCCAAGAAUGUUUUCACUAUUCAAGAAUGUACGUCAGAGGUUCGCACACGAUCAGAUGCCAUUGAACAUCCAACCAUAAAUGAUGCCUACUAGCGAUCGUGCAGCAUUAUUCCCAUGACCUGCAGAGCAGCUUCCGGGAUACUUAAAUCUUUGAUUUAUGGGGGGGAGUAUGGUAGCUGUAACUUAAAGGAAUUUUACAGAAGGGCACCACGAGGAGUGGAGCCAGCGGCUUCAUUUGACUGAACACGGGAAACCUCACCCGGCCUGGACACGGAGGCGUUCAAUGACUCAGAGGGCCAAGUGGCAUUCAGCCACACGAGAUAGAGUAGAGCCAUUGUAGGUCUGUGAUGGCCUUAGAUGUCCAGGGCUGCAAGCGCGCACACUGAGCUGGACCAGAAUCUGUCUCCCUUCCAUGACAGGUGCAGGUAACCCGCUGCAUCCUGUUCUUGUUAGGGAUUGGGGAUUGCAAUUAUUUCCCAUGAACAAGGAAUUCCCAGUAAGUUCGGGUCAUGAACUUGCGUUGAUUAAGCCCCUGCCCUUUGUACCACCGCCCUUUGUACACACUGCCCGUCGUUAAUACAGAUUGGAUGGUUUAGUGAGGUCCUCGGAUCGGCCCGCUGGGGUCAGCAAUGUCUCUGGUGGAGCUCUGAGAAGACGAUCAAACUUCACUAUCUAGAAGAAGUAAAAGUCAUAACAAGGUUUCCAUAGGUGAAACUGCUGAAG
This 1492-nucleotide ribosomal RNA is filed under the name Ambystoma mexicanum (axolotl). Its description in RNAcentral is "SSU rRNA". It matches the Rfam family "Eukaryotic small subunit ribosomal RNA". The record is from RNAcentral. Lineage: Eukaryota; Metazoa; Chordata; Amphibia; Caudata; Ambystomatidae.